AAUGAGCACGGUGAGAUGAAAGAACGGAAAAGAUUUUAUUAUUUCAAGUCUUGUUUGUUUCGUCAUGUUCAAAGGGGCUACCUAAGCUGCCGGAGGAGAAGGGUCCUUGAUGGAUGUACCCAGCAGUAUGGACUUGCCAGGCAAGUGCAAUCUGUUAGAGAAGAGUGUGCGCCACCAUCGCAUCUCGCCAUCCCAGCUUCCUGUCUGGCCAUGUAGCCUCUCCCUCUUGCCAUCUUCCAGCCGUUUUUCAUCCACCACGAUGCUGUAUAGCCACAGAGAACCCUCACCAGAGAGGAUGUAAUUCUGUUUGGACUUUUUGCUUCUAACCUUGCAAGUUCAACACACUUCUUUUCUUGAUAAAGUACCCAUCCAUGGGUCUUUUGUUUUAGCAACAGAAAAUGAGCUAUUAUUACUACUGGUGCUUUUGCUUGUGGGGUGUACGUGGGGCGUAUUUAUUGCAAGUAUUUUCCCUGGGUCUUCAGAAGUCUAAAGU
RNAcentral lists this long non-coding RNA (493 nucleotides) under Mus pahari (shrew mouse). RNAcentral describes it as "predicted gene 13839 (MGP_PahariEiJ_G0005314.1)". The record is from RNAcentral. Lineage: Eukaryota; Metazoa; Chordata; Mammalia; Rodentia; Muridae.